RNAcentral lists this ribosomal RNA (654 nucleotides) under uncultured Methanosaeta sp. Its description in RNAcentral is "bacterial SSU rRNA". It matches the Rfam family "Archaeal small subunit ribosomal RNA", at positions 225 to 879 of the family's 1478-position model. Lineage: Archaea; Methanobacteriati; Methanobacteriota; Methanomicrobia; Methanotrichales; Methanotrichaceae. The record is from RNAcentral.
UCAGGUAGUAGUGGGUGUAGCGUACCUACUAGCCUACGACGGGUACGGGUUGUGAGAGCAAGAGCCCGGAGAUGGAUUCUGAGGCACGAAUCCAGGCCCUACGGGGUGCAGCAGGCGCGAAAACUUUACAAUGCUGGAAACAGCGAUAAGGGGACCUCGAGUGCCAGGUUACAAAUCUGGCUGUCGUGAUGCCUAAAAAGCAUUGCAUAGCAAGGGCCGGGCAAGACCGGUGCCAGCCGCCGCGGUAACACCGGCGGCUCGAGUGGUAACCGUUAUUAUUGGGUCUAAAGGGUCUGUAGCCGGCCGGAUAAGUCUCUUGGGAAAUCUGGCAGCUUAACUGUCAGGCUUUCAGGAGAUACUGUCUGGCUCGAGGCCGGGAGAGGUGAGAGGUACUUCAGGGGUAGGGGUGAAAUCUUGUAAUCCUUGAAGGACCACCAGUGGCGAAGGCGUCUCACCAGAACGGACCUGACGGCAAGGGACGAAAGCUAGGGGCACGAACCGGAUUAGAUACCCGGGUAGUCCUAGCCGUAAACGAUACUCGCUAGGUGUCGGCAACGGUGCGACCGUUGUCGGUGCCGUAGGGAAGCCGUGAAGCGAGCCACCUGGGAAAUACGGCCGCAAGGCUGAAACUUAAAGGAAUUGGCGGGGGAGCAC